Molecule: ribosomal RNA, 1459 nt
Filed under: uncultured prokaryote
Description: partial 16S ribosomal RNA
Rfam family: Bacterial small subunit ribosomal RNA
Source: RNAcentral
UCAGAACGAACGCUGGCGGCGUGGAUAAGACAUGCAAGUCGAGCGAGAUUCGGAUAGCAAUAUUUGAAAUUUUAGCGGCGAAAGGGUGCGUAACACGUGGGUAUUUGCCGUAAAGUUGGGAAUAACUUGCCGAAAGGUAAGCUAAUACCGAAUGUGAUAGCAUUUUUAAAGUUGGGGACCGCAAGGCCUGACGCUUUUUGAUAAGCCCGCGUCCUAUCAGCUUGUUGGUGAGGUAAAAGCUCACCAAGGCUAAGACGGGUAGCUGGUCUGAGAGGACGAUCAGCCACACUGGAACUGAGACACGGUCCAGACACCUACGGGUGGCAGCAGUCGAGAAUCUUUCACAAUGGGGGAAACCCUGAUGCAGCGACGCCGCGUGGGGGAUGAAUGGCUUCGGUCCGUAAACCCCUGUCAUUUGUUAACAAACCUCUUAAAUUAAUAGCUUAAGAGCUGAUGUAGCAGAAGAGGAAGGGACGGCUAACUCCGUGCCAGCAGCCGCGGUAAUACGGAGGUCCCAAGCGUUGUUCGGAUUCACUGGGCGUAAAGGGUGCGUAGGCGGUUAGGUAAGUUCGAUGUGAAAGCUCCGGGCUCAACCCGGAAAUGGCAUUGAAAACUACCUAACUUGAGGGUCGGAAGGGAGACUGGAAUUCCCGGUGUAGCAGUGAAAUGCGUAGAUAUCGGGAGGAACACCAGUGGCGAAGGCGAGUCUCUGGACGACACUGACACUGAGGCACGAAGGCUAGGGGAGCAAACAGGAUUAGAUACCCUGGUAGUCCUAGCAGUAAACGGUGUGCGUUUGCUGUGGGCGGUUCGACCGUCCGUGGCGUAGCUAACGCGUUAAGUGCACCGCCUGGGGAGUACGGUCGCAAGAUUAAAACUCAAAGAAAUUGACGGGGGCCUGCACAAGCGGUGGAGUAUGUGGCUUAAUUCGAUGCAACGCGAAGAACCUUACCUGGCCUUGACAUGAAGAGUAGGAACCUGAAAGGGUAACAGGUAGCAAUACCAGCUUGCACAGGUGCUGCAUGGCUGUCGUCAGCUCGUGUCGUGAGAUGUUGGGUUAAGUCCCGCAACGAGCGCAACCCUUGUGUCCUGUUGCCACUCCUGCGAUGGAGCACUCUGGACAACUGCCUCAUUUAAAUGAGGAGGAAGGUGGGGAUGACGUCAAGUCAGUAUGGCCCUUACGGCCAGGGCUGCACACGUACUACAAUGCCUGGUACAAUGGGAAGCAAGACCGCAAGGUGGAGCAAAUCCCUAAAAACCAGGCCCAGUUCAGAUUGUCGUCUGCAACUCGACGGCAUGAAGCCGGAAUCGCUAGUAAUGGCGCAUCAGUACGGCGCCGUGAAUACGUUCCCAGGCCUUGUACACACCGCCCGUCACAUCAUGAAAGCCGGCUGUACCCGAAGUCGCUGCACUAACCGUAAGGAAGUAGGCGCCGAAGGUAUGGCUGGUGAUUGGGAUG